AAAGGACUCCAAGCCCAUCAAAUCCGGCUGAUCCCCACCUUGUCACCAGCCCAGAGCACUGAGUGCCACACCCAGGCCUUCCUUGGACACCUCCAGAUUCCUCCAGACUCCUGGGCAGCCCCUUCCAAUGUUUAACAUCUCUUUCCUUGAAGAAAUUCUUCCUGAUGUCCAGCCUGACCCUCUCCUGGUACAGCUUGUUUGCUGAGUUUGGGUCAGAGCUUGUGCUUGCAGCCCCAGUUAACCUUUCUGCAAGGAAAAACCCAACCUAAGCAGCAGAAAAUGUCAGGAAAAUUAUGUUAAUUUGCAGAGUGAAUUUUCUUCAGGACCUCAAAGAACAAAAGCACUUCCAAAAGCUCUCAAAGUCAUUUCCACCCAGAACCUCGAGAUUUCCAAGGAUCCUGUCCAAAACUCUGCAGGAUCAAGCUUUGUACCUGCCCUUCCUGGUGCAAGCAACUCUUUUCAUUAGAGAAACUGCCAGAGCCUUGGCCAGCAAGAGAAAAGGAAGGAAGAGCAUAAAGACAGUUGAAAACAGCAAAAAAAAACCCAACCCCAGCACUGAGGGAAGAGGAGGAAGCUCAGGAGAUUAAGUGUUUAGCAAGGAUGAACUCAAACAAGCACACACAGGGGAUACUUCUGAAUCAAGUGGAAAAUACUCCACAUGCCUUUCUCUCAAAAUCCCACAUAUUCCUGGAGAAAACUGAUCACCACCAAACCUGACCAGCUGCAGUUUUAAAAGCACUCUCUCCACAUUGCUCAGGGUGGGACAGGCUUCCCAUUUGCCUCACUUUUAGCUGGCUGGCCAAGGGAGAAUGGGAAAAGCAGAGUUUCCUUUUGGCCCAGUUUUCCUUGAAGCCUGGGAGCUGAAUUCCACUCCUGACUUUGAAUCAUUGAGACUUGCUGUUGGAGCACAGUCAAGUCACAUCCCUCACCUCCCUGUGAUUCAAGAAGCCUGGCUUUUAAGGGAAAAAAUAUGCAGAAAGAGCCCGUAAAGGCAGGGUCUGGAUCCAAGAAGAGUUGUGGUGGAUUAAGAGAUUAAAAGUGUGGAAGUCUGUGAAGAUAAAAUUCACAAAAGGAGGAACGUGGUGCUCCUGUCAGAUGGAGCUUUGUCCAUUUUCCUGGGAUUUUGGAGAUAUUUCCACUGCCUCACAAGAGGCUCUGGUCCCAAAGCAGGCUGUGGUAAUGGUGUGUGAGGAUGUGUGAAUGCCAGCCUGGAACCAGCUCAUUACCUAAAUGGGGCUGGUGUCAGAUGGCAACGGGGAGAAGCUUCUCCCACCUUGUAAAUUCUUUGCAUAAUAGAGGAAAUAAACCCCAUUGUUUUUAUGAACUGGUAAUGAAG
RNAcentral lists this long non-coding RNA (1336 nucleotides) under Junco hyemalis (dark-eyed junco). RNAcentral's name for it is "lncRNA (ENSJHYG00000005662.1)". Lineage: Eukaryota; Metazoa; Chordata; Aves; Passeriformes; Passerellidae. The record is from RNAcentral.